Molecule: unclassified non-coding RNA, 148 nt
Organism: Macaca fascicularis (crab-eating macaque)
Lineage: Eukaryota; Metazoa; Chordata; Mammalia; Primates; Cercopithecidae
Rfam family: Metazoan signal recognition particle RNA
About the family: The signal recognition particle (SRP) is a universally conserved ribonucleoprotein. It is involved in the co-translational targeting of proteins to membranes. The eukaryotic SRP consists of a 300-nucleotide 7S RNA and six proteins: SRPs 72, 68, 54, 19, 14, and 9.
Source: Ensembl
GCUGGGUGUGGUGGCGCACACCUGUAAUCCCAGCUACUCAGGAGGGUGAAGUGGGAGGAUCUCUUGAGCCCAGGAGUUCAAGGCUACAGUAAGCCAUGGUUGUGCCACUGUAUUCUAGCUUGAGCAACAGAGUGAGACCCUGUAUCUU